Molecule: ribosomal RNA, 253 nt
Filed under: uncultured bacterium
Lineage: Bacteria
Description: partial 16S ribosomal RNA
Rfam family: Bacterial small subunit ribosomal RNA
Source: RNAcentral
UACAGAGGGUGCAAGCAUUAAUCGGAUUUAUUGGGCGUAAAGGGCGCGUAGGCGGGGAUAAUAGUCAGAUGUGAAAUCCUGGGGCUCAACCUCAGAACUGCAUUUGAAACUGUAUCCCUAGAGGGUAGGAGGAGAAAGCGGAAUUCCACAAGUAGCGGUGAAAUGCGUAGAUAUGUGGAAGAACACCGGUGGCGAAGGCGGUUUUCUAUCUUAUUCCUGACGCUAAUGCGCGAAAGCAAGGGGAUCAAACAGG